GAAACCAACUGGGAUUACCUUAGUAACGGCGAGUGAAGCGGUAAAAGCUCAAAUUUGAAAUCUGGUACUUUCAGUGCCCGAGUUGUAAUUUGUAGAAUUUGUCUUUGAUUAGGUCCUUGUCUAUGUUCCUUGGAACAGGACGUCAUAGAGGGUGAGAAUCCCGUUUGGCGAGGAUACCUUUUCUCUGUAAGACUUUUUCGAAGAGUCGAGUUGUUUGGGAAUGCAGCUCAAAGUGGGUGGUAAAUUCCAUCUAAAGCUAAAUAUUGGCGAGAGACCGAUAGCGAACAAGUACAGUGAUGGAAAGAUGAAAAGAACUUUGAAAAGAGAGUGAAAAAGUACGUGAAAUUGUUGAAAGGGAAGGGCAUUUGAUCAGACAUGGUGUUUUUGCAUGCACUCGCCUCUCGUGGGCUUGGGCCUCUCAAAAAUUUCACUGGGCCAACAUCAAUUUUGGCGGCAGGAAAAAUCUUUUGGAAUGUAGCUACCUCGGUAGUGUUAUAGCUUUUGGAAUACUGCCAGCUGGGAUU
Molecule: ribosomal RNA, 524 nt
Filed under: uncultured Hanseniaspora
Lineage: Eukaryota; Fungi; Ascomycota; Saccharomycetes; Saccharomycodales; Saccharomycodaceae
Description: eukaryotic LSU rRNA
Rfam family: Eukaryotic large subunit ribosomal RNA
Source: RNAcentral